Molecule: long non-coding RNA, 5926 nt
Organism: Poecilia latipinna (sailfin molly)
Lineage: Eukaryota; Metazoa; Chordata; Actinopteri; Cyprinodontiformes; Poeciliidae
Exons: 3
Source: RefSeq, a predicted model, not a curated record
GCACCGUAGAUCUCUACUAAGAAAACAUGAAUUUGGAAAUCUGAGGUUUUUAUGAGCAGUGUUUUUGUUUGUUUCCAAUAAAAAGUCCACUUAUUUAGACUUAUGAUUCCUGGUCGAUCUGUAAACGUCUGAAUCACAAUUUAUCUUGUCUGCUAGUAGAUUUUCCAUCUCUGAGACAUUUUUUUUUUCCUCCACAUUGUUUGUGACACAAUCAGUGUCAUCUUCCUGGAGUCAAAAAGUCAUAUAAAAUCUAACACAGAGGCUUCAUCAUAAUUUAGAGACAAUGCAUCAGUUGUCUUUAAUGUAGUCUAUCAGUGACAACUCGUUAAGUGCAUCACACAUCGUUGGUGUAUGAUGCUUGUAAAAACAACAACAAAAAAAGCACAUCCUGUUUUCAACUAAACAACCCAAACCAGGAACAUCUGGAAAGCAUUCUACAUUUCAAGAUGUUUUUCUGUUUUUUCUUCAUUUUUUUUUUCAGUGAUCCUUUUCAUUAUUAAUGAGCUUGAACUCAUGUUGUUGCAAGGAAAUGCACAGUGAUUUCAUUUUAACACAGCCAUGUUAAGUUCAGAACCUGGAGAGGUUAAACACUUGAGUUAGCCAUAAACGAUUAAGCCCUAAAACAGUGUUGUAGUGGUCAUUAUUUAAUUGCGGGUGAAAUGGGUAUAAUUGUGGGAAAUGUAUUUGUCUCUGAUGAGCACAGCACUUUAUCAACCAAAACUUGAAGACCUGCAAAGAAGUUUCUUUAGAAAAACAAACAAACAAAAAAAAAACUAAGAUGAAUUUGUUUCCACGGAUAAAUGAUCACAAUGUUCUUCUAGAGCUGCUGCCACAAUGUGUCACAUUUUGUCAUAUGACGUAUUAUUUAUGAAAAAAUUAAAGGAAGCGCUACACAGUCUAGCUUUCAGGUAAUGUCUUACGUAUGCACGAUGCUUUUAAUGAUGGCUCCAUUCUAAAUAGUCACUUCAGGAUAUAAUGAGAUCAGUGGUGUGGAGUUCACAGUAUUCGCCUGUGUCAUAACCAGGCAUGUAAACCUUUCUGUGACGACCAUGUCUCACUUUAUUGUUUUUCUGUUUCUAUAUUGCAACAGAUACAAUCCCUGACCAUCUAUGGUUACCCCCAAAUGAGCAGAUAAUUAUUAAUCAUAUUAAUUAGGUAGCCAGGGCCACCAUAGGUUUCAUCUUUAAACAACUUUCCCAGGUGAGUAAAAGAUCUGGAUAGGACACCGAGAGAUUAAUCUAUCCAGAGCCGUUAUUGUGUCUGUCCUGCAAUAUUUAAGUUGCAGUUGCAAUUUUUUUGGGCUGAAUUUUGGAAAAAGAAUACUCUGAUAAGCUUUUUGCGGUAAUACAAUUAUGCAUACUCUUGUGUAGAAUGAGUAGCUGGGCAAAGCAGGAGCUUAAUUUCCCAGGGCAUCGUGUCUUCCAAUAACAAUGAAGACAUUUGGUGUCACAAAGAUGUUACUAUCAAGAAACUGAUCAAAACAACUACGUCUGCAACACUUUGUUUUAUUUACUGAGGCUAAUUUCCAUUAGCACACUCUUAUGUGAGUACUUACAGUUGAUGGGGGGGAAAAAAUUGAUGAAGCUGCAACUAAUCAUCAUCAGAAGUGAAUUAAAACCUUUGCAUUUACAUUCUAAUGUGGAAAUAAUUGUGGCUUACAGAUAAUGAAAACUCAAAAGUCAUUGUUUUGGAAUAUAAUUAGUCAAUAUAUGAGUUUCACUCUGAAAUAAGUGACAAAAGCAUUAAACUUCAAAUUCAAGUUUUCUUUUAGAUGUACCUGUAUUUUAUGUUUUCGAAUAACCAACACUGUGUUUGCACCACUCAGCUGCUGCUCCCUCUUUUGCCUGUUACAAAAUCAUUAGGGAGGAUUUUAGCGUUUCCAUUCUGCUUUUCCAUUUUGGCUGAGCUUGUAUGACACAGCGUAAUGCGCUGCCGAGAACAUCCACCUUGAAACUGAAAUCCUUAGAAAGGACGGUUAAAAACGCGCUUCAUGCAUAACAAGCCGGAACCAAUCCUGUCAACUUGCAGAGGCUGGCUGGUGAGAGCUGGAACAAGGUCUAUCAUUAGCAACACAUGAUUAGCUGCUUAAUAAUGUAGCCAUGCUGAAAUUCACAUUAUGCAUUAUUUUUUGUCUUUCUCCUCUCACAUAGGAUGACACAUAAAAUGCUAUCCAUCUAUCAGUCAGUUCUCUUCUCCUGGCCUAUUAACUAUAUAUAUAUAUAUAUUAAUUUCCUCUUACAUUUUGAUCUUGAUUUAAUAGUUGUUGUUGUUUUUUUUUGUUUAUUUGUGUGUUUGUUUUUUUUAAAUAGGUAUUUUAGUGAGUGUGUAGAAGCAUUUAACAUAUCUGCUGUCUUACUUUGAAGAGUCAGAGAGAAGUUGUCAAGAAAGAAAAAAAGAAAGCAAACCACUUUUUAUGUAAAACAGCUCAAUCUUACCAGGGUGAUUAAAAUUGAAUUUUGAAUGUUAUCAUCGUCGAAUCAACCAAUUUACGUCAUCGCUCAUUUUCUCUGUCGGGCAUUUGGUUUUAAUUACUGGGUUAACAAUCGCUGGUUUGUGUCUCUGCUGGAUCUUUAAGCAGUAGAAGUUGGCUUGCAUAGAAAUCCAUCCAUGUACUUACAACCCAGAAGACACUGACUUGAGUCUUUAGAUGAAAGUGGAUGAAAUCUAUGCCAUGAGUGGCAUAAUGGAAAAAAAAAUGUACAUUUUCAAUUUUUAUCACGUUUCUGGUCUGCUAGUGUUCAUUAGCCAGAACAUUAACCAUUGAUCUGGCAGCAGACUGAUAGAAAAAUGUGCUUCAGGUGAAUGAAAUUCAUUCACCUCGAUUCCCGACUGAGAACGUUUGCCAGAUCCUCUAGAAUAAAUUCUACUUUGCCUCUGCAGUCUGCAGGCAAGAUACUCACUGCACACAUAUACAUUAUCCACAAACCCACUUAUAAAUGGCUUUUUAUGUUUUCUAAUACUUUUCUUGUGGUUAUGACUCAGAAAAAAACAAGGAUCACUCUGUGAUGAGAGCACAUAUCUCGGCAGGUUUGGUUUAAGAGGUUGGCAGAAGAUGUAAGAGACAACGUUAUACAAACCAGAGGUGCAGAGAGGGGCAGUAAUUGAAAUGGGGAUGUCAUUCAUCAGGUUUCAUAGAGGUGGCACAAACUGAGGUGUGGUGCACGUUUGUUAGUUUGUGUGAGAGGGAAUAAGCAUGUGUGUGUGUGUGUGUGUGUGUGUGUGUGUGUGUGUGUGUGUUACCUGUCAGCCGACUAAACAAAAGGACUGUGGCAGAUCAUUUUCUUCCUGCAGAGAGGUGGAAGAAACAAAAAAGAGCACUCAUUUAUUUUGUCAUUUUCUAUUCUCCCCUUUGGAUACCAGAAAAUCACCUUCAAUUUCCAUUUAUUUAGACAAACAAUCGACUGCAGCAGCAUCAAGCAAACCUUUUUUUUCUUAUUAUGUUUUUUGUGGGUCCAGCAGUGCUCCUUACAGACAUUUUCCUUCAUCAUAUACAAACAAAAUUCUAGACAUUUUAAGUCCUGACAGGUAGAAGAUGUAAGAAGGGGUACAAUUUUCUGCAGUACCUGCUCUAUAACCUAAUAUUUACAAGACUUAAACAAAAAAACAAGGACUUUGAUCUCAGCAACACUCAAAAAUGUUGAAGGUUUCUUCUUACAGAUUUUCUCAUUUGCUUUGGUGCAUUUCUCAAAUCAUCCGUGACAUUUGGAAAACAGUAUUUCUCAUACAAAAGCAUUUAGAAUUUGUUCACAAAAAUGAUAAAUUCAUCUUCUGAUCACACGAUAAUUUCAAGAUUAAACAACCAUGUUAGAGAAAUUCAAUUCCGUUCUAAGAAAUGCACCAGAGUGGCUCAGAGAAAAAAAAAAAAACUGUGUCAUGAAAUAUUGCACAAGCCACUCAUACUUCAUUUGACAUGAGGUAUGAAAGUCAUACUUCAUACAUCACCUGCUCCUUCACAUGUGAACUCAUGCAGGCCAGAGUUUUGUGAUGGCAAAGAUCCAGUGAGCUAUCAAGUUCUGAUUUAUUAGGUGGCAUUGAACUGUAUGUGGAAAUACGAAACGUCAGGCCUUCCAAGUAAAUCUUUAUUGUUUACGUCACUCCGAAAUGCUGAAAAUACUGGAGCCUGUCAAGCAGCGACGUCCCAAAGGCUUAGACACAAAAAUAUGAUUCACUUGCAUUGCUAUUAAAUAUUACAUACAUGUUUGGGGGUUUUUUACCUUUACUGUAUAUCCAUAUUUUUCAAUGUGCAGUUGACAUUUAAUUCUAAAUAUUGAAAUAUAUUCUUAAUAUAACGCACAUCAAACAGUAACAAAAAUAUUUUUAAGCUGUUGCGAGGUAAGAGAUGGCGUACAUCCUGUGAAAAGAUGGAUGCGCCGGUCUGUAAUUACAUAACGAAAUGGUACGUUUAUGAGUUGUGACACCCAGUACGAAGAACACGGAAACGCAUCUCGGAGAGUCCUGACAUUUAAACUGUAGACCUUUUUGUUGGGAGGCAUCCAACUACGCCCACAGAAAAUGACUUUUUUUUUUUUUUUUUUUUUUUUUUCUCUUCAAAAUUUGUCACGUCGUUUCGCUCCUGAUUAGAUCGAGAGGCCUCAAUCAUUCCCACAGCCUGCAAGCAAGAGGGAAAUAAAGGCAAAUUAAGUGUAUUAAAACGAGAUACAGCAAAGUAAUUGCAACUGCGCUUUGUCAGUUGGCAACAACUACAGUCUGUUUUCAGUGAGAAAAUGUUGCAAAGGUAAUCCCAAAAUGAAUUCCUAAUAUGCAAAUGAGGCCCCAAAAUGCUUCUGGUUUGUGGCUUUUAUAGCUUUCAUAGCACAUCUGAGCUGUAGAUUUAUUUUCAAAGUUUACUGAUAAACACAUUUUUUUUAUUGAAUAGAAUAUUACGCAUCUUAUUAAAACAAAACACUUGAUUUAAGUAUUUAACAACAGGCUUCGUAACAUUCUUCAUCUUCAUGGAUUACAGAUUUAUAGCAUUUAAUUAUAACUUGAUGCUCAGAUUUUAUGUGGCCACUUUUCCUUAUGUAAAUCAAACUUGUGUAAACACAAUUUUCUUUAUUUUCUACUAAAAACGAUAGAAAAAGAAAUUACUCAUUUGAAACUGGCGUCUUCCUGAAAAUCCCGGUGAGGCAGAUGGGACAUAAAAGCUCAGUUCCAAAUGCAUUAUAAUCUAAAUGUCAUGUUCAGUGAUUGUAAAAGGUUUUAAGAGGGAAAUGUGUGUUUUUGAUGUGCAAUUUAUGAGCACAAACAGAAACACAGUGUAGUGUAGGCACCCCAGGACACUGGAUGGACGGUAUGCUGAAAGGUUUUUAUUUUUACCUUUAUGCCUCAGUCUUUGUCACACACUGACUUUUAUGCCUUCUUGCCAGAGAAAGACUUCCUGUGAAACAAUUGCAUUUUUUGAUUCCUUAAUAAUCAUAAAGUGAUUGCUAAAGCACAAUAUCAUUCACAUAAAGUAAAACGAAACGAACCUGAGUACGAGUUUCGCUAAAUACAGUAGUUCUAAUACUUGGGUAAGGAACAGAUUUUAUUGUCAAACUGAUAUGCAAAGCUGUUAAGUUGUCAUCCAAAUGAUAUCAGAGACUGUCAUAUGAAUCAUUUUUUUUUUUUUUUUUUUUUUUUUUUGCAUGUGAUCCAUUCUCUCUCAGGACACUUUUGGCAGUGUGAUAUUAGCCUGAGGAAGCCUGUCCUCGCUGACACGAACAACUGUGUCCCCCAGUAGCAUCUGUUCCCACCUACAGCCACGUGUCCUGCUUUUUUUUGUGCGUGUGUCCUUGAGCUAUAAAGCAAAGCGGUGAUGCCUGCUCCAGUUUUCUGUGGGUAAAAAUCUCAGCCAGACGGCUAAACUUUUAGAAGCUUUUGAGAGAGAGAUUGAGAGAGAGAGAGAGAGAGAGAGAGAGAGAGAGGGAGAGAGAGAGAGAGAGAGAGA